UGAUUGAAUUGUGGAAAUAUU
Molecule: non-coding RNA, 21 nt
Organism: Caenorhabditis elegans
Lineage: Eukaryota; Metazoa; Nematoda; Chromadorea; Rhabditida; Rhabditidae
Source: Ensembl